RNAcentral lists this long non-coding RNA (520 nucleotides) under Phoenix dactylifera (date palm). RNAcentral's name for it is "long non-coding RNA (PDAC_LNC011907)". The record is from RNAcentral. Lineage: Eukaryota; Viridiplantae; Streptophyta; Magnoliopsida; Arecales; Arecaceae.
UUUGGGAUUCACUUGGAUGCUCUUCUUCUCUCUCUUUUACUUUGAAUGGCCCUUUUGUGCUUUUGGGAGAUUUCUCUUGUAAUCUCUUUGAAAUCUCUUCCCUAAAUGUUCUCUCCCACUUCCAUCCCUUCUCCCCUUGCUCUUCCCUUGAUUUUAUAGCUUUAGAGGGAGUGGGAACAAAAAUCUAGCCGUUAGAGACAAAAAUAGAGCCGUUGGAGUUGAGAAAAAACUAGCCGUUAUGCCUUCCAGCGUGCUCGAGUCGACUCUGCUGAAGUAGGAGUCGACUCGGCUGAGGCAGGAGUCGACUCGGCUGGGAGUCGACUCGGCUGGGAGUCGACUCGAGCACUGCAGUGCUGAAAAUCAACUCUCUGUCUUUUUGUCUGUUCUCAGUCGAAGUCGACUCGCAGAAUCCCGGAGUCGACUCGAGCACUGUUUCUUGAAACUCUAGAGUGCCAGAGUCGACUCGGAACUUUCAGGAGUCGACUCGAGGACUAUUCUUUUGAAUCUUUCUUUGAAUUUG